AGUCACUGACAUUAGAUACCCGCGUAGUCCAGGGUGUAAACGCUGCAGACUUGGUGUUGGAAGUCCUUUGGGGGCAUUCAGUGCCGGAGAGAAGUUGUUAAGUCUGCUACUUGGGGAGUACGUCCGCAAGGAUGAAACUUAAAGGAAUUGGCGGGGGAGCACCGCAACGGGAGGAGCGUGCGGUUUAAUUGGAUUCAACACCGUAAACUCACCAGGGAAGGCUGUUACAUGAAAGCCGAGAUGAAGACUCUGCUAGAUUUUCAG
RNAcentral lists this ribosomal RNA (264 nucleotides) under uncultured archaeon. RNAcentral's name for it is "partial 16S ribosomal RNA". It matches the Rfam family "Archaeal small subunit ribosomal RNA", at positions 716 to 982 of the family's 1478-position model. The record is from RNAcentral.